This is an RNA transcript of Pteropus alecto (black flying fox), 3089 nucleotides long. It is a transcript of the gene named WD repeat domain 76, with no coding region annotated. The record is from RefSeq and is a predicted model, not a curated record. NCBI's taxonomy places the organism in Eukaryota, Metazoa, Chordata, Mammalia, Chiroptera, Pteropodidae. The transcript has 17 exons.
UAGAAUGUUGUUUGUGACUGCGCAUGUUCAUAGUUAGUCCUUUCGUUCUCAAUCCUGCGGUAUUCGGACGCCGCUUCUGGCGGGAAAUUGCUUCUAUUGGGCUCUGCUGUUGAGACCGUGCGCCGAGGAACGUCCGAAUUAAAGGCUCACAUUGCAAGGCAAGGUGGUUUUUCCUCAGCAGAAACGCCAUUGCUUUUCAAAGCAAGAUCUUGACAGCAGCGGCAUCAGACUCAUCAGGAUCCAGGUAAUUACAAGCCAGACCAAUUUAAGCUCCCCAAAUGCCUAUUGGAUAAGAAUUCUAAGAAUGAAAUGGCAUGUGAGAAAUAUGAGAAGACUGAAAUAAAGAAAAGUUGCAGGAUUUCAACUCCAAAGAUGGAAGCCACCACAUCUUCCAAGGCAGAAUCUACUCUGCAAAACUCAUCCAUAGAUGUUCAUGCAGAAAAUUACCAGCGACACCACAAGAGCACUUCUGAUACAGUGAUUCCCCAUGUUGAUAUGGAAAGCAGUGAGGAGAGAGAGAGUGAUGAAGAUACCACAUCAGGCCCGGAUGACUUUUCAGGAUUGUCACCGUAUGAAAGGAAGAGACUGAAGAACAUAUCAGAAAAUGCAAACUUUUUUGCUUCUCUUCAGUUGUCUGAGUCAGCUGCAAGGCUCCGUAAAAUGAUAAAGAAGAGACAACCUCCUGAAUCCAAACGAAAGAAGCCUAAGAAGAGAGAAAACGGAAUUGGAUGUAGAAGGUCAAUGCGAUUACUAAAUGUAGAUCCUUCAGGAAUUUCAUUACCAGCAACUCCAACCCAGCCAGCAUUAGUAGCAGAUGAAAAUCCUUUAUUACCUCCUGGACCUUUAGAAAUGACUCCUGAAAAUCGAGAUGACAACAGUGAACUAUUUAAAGGAUUUCUACAUACUUGGGCAGAAGUGAGCAAGACUACUAGUAAGAACACAAAGAAGGAGUUACCUAGCAUUAAAAGCUAUAAAGCCAAUUUGAGUGGCAUGGUCAUUAGUGAAGAUACUGUUUAUAAAGUUACUAAAGGUCCAAUACUCUCCAUGGCUCUCCACCCAUCAGAAAUUAAAACUUUGGUGGCAGCUGGGGCCAAAUCUGGGCAAGUUGGACUUUGGGAUUUGACUCACCAACCUAAAGAAGAUGGAACUUAUGUUUUUCAGCCCCAUAGUCAGCCAGUUAGCUGUCUUUACUUCUCACCUACCAACCCAGCUCACAUACUGUCACUGAGCUAUGAUAGCACGUUACGUUGUGGAGACUUUUCCACGGCUGUUUUUGAUGAGGUAUAUAGAAAUGAAAGAAGUAGCUUUUCCUCCUUUGACUUCUUGACAGAAGAUGCCUCCACUUUAAUAGUAGGACACUGGGAUGGAAGUAUGUCACUGGUAGAUAGACGGACACCUGGAACUUCUUAUGAGAAAUUUAUCAAUUCUUCUUUGAGAAAAAUAAGAACUGUUCAUGUCCACCCGGUACAUAGACAGUAUUUUAUCACUGCAGGAUUGAGGGAUAUUCAUAUUUAUGAUGCAAGGCAUCUGAAUCCCAGGGGAAGCCAGCCUUUGAUUUCUGUGACUGAACACACAAAGAGCAUCGCAUCUGCUUAUUUUUCACCUCUUACUGGUAACAGAGUAGUGACCACAUGUGCUGAUUGUAAACUGAGAAUCUUUGACAGCAGCUGUUUAUCCUCUCAGAUUCCUCUCCUCACCACUAUCAGAUCCCUUUGUGGAUGACCAAUUCAAGAUGAAGUAUUCACACUUCUUGGAGGAAAGAAGCGCACUCUUGCAAUUCUACUGAGGGGGUGAGCAGAGAAAGCAUAUGGAAAUACAGAGGGAACCAGCUGUGAAGGAGAGAAGAGUUCCAGCAUCGGAUGCCAUUUCUGGGCCUCCCUGGCAAGGCCGCCUUCCAAAGUAGAGUGCCAGAGUUCUGAGCCAUGUUUCUGGCAUACCAGCGGGCACAAGCAAAUGCACGGGUGUGGAGACAGAGGCUAUUGGUAGCAGCUCUAAGAAGUACUGACAGGUAGAAUUUCAUAGAUGGUGGUUCCAAAAAGAAGCAUGAAUGAUGAAUGAAGAUGGAGAAGGAGGCAAGGGAACAAGAAAGUCGAAUCACUGACAGAGCGACUCAGAAAGGCAGCGAGAGAACUGAGGAGAAACAUCACGACCGGGGGAAAGCACAGCUGCACAUCAUGUCUGACAGAGAGCACAGAGUGUUGGAAAAGUUUUAAGUUUUGAUCAAUUCAAUUUUCCUUGUUACUGAGGCAGAGGCAGCUAGAAUACAUGAAAAGUAAGAGAUAACUCAAACUCUACCACAUUUUAAACACCCCUAGUACUAAAAAUCUUUUACCCCAGCUGGUAGCAAAAGCUAAGAAGUGGCCAAGCUGACGGUUUUUAAAUAGCUAUCCUUGGGCUUAAUUCUCCCAUGGGUGGAGACGCCAGAUAUGAGGGGUGGGGAAGAAAGAAGAAAGAAAGCUAAUACUGAGGGCUAACUAUGCAUCAGGCACUGUGUUAAGCAUUUCACAUGUAUUCUUUAAUUUUCACAGCAACUUAUAAAAUAGGUACUAUGAUAAUAGUUUUCUCAUCCAUAAACUGAGUUUUCCCAUCUGUUACAUGAGUUUAUUAUAGUCAUUUAACACAGAGAAGGUAGGCAACUUGCUUAUUAUCACACAGUUAACUGACUGAGCUGGGAACCGGACGCAGGCAGUUUAACUAUAGACUCUGAAUACAUAAUAGCUGUGCCAUAUGGCAUUUUCUAAAAUAACCAAAUACAACCAAGUUGACAGGAUAAAAGGAGUUGAAAGUGUGUUGGCCUCUAAUACCUGGCUGCUGCCUGCAAAUUUGUGGUAGAAGUCCUGAGUCCUCUUUGGUGUUCAUCUCUGACACCCAUCAUUAUUUUUAGGUAAGGGGAUAAAGAUCUACUUGAAGCUAUCCUUUCUUCUAAAUUCAAAUACAAAUAAGUUAAAGAAUGAAAAAUGUUUGAAUUUUUGACACAUUCACUUCAUUAUAUUAAAAUUUCUACUGUAUGUCAAUUCGUUCCCGAGGGAAACAUUUCAGCAAUUUGGUGAUUAAAUCAUGUAGCAGUGAUGAACCUAACUUCUAAAGCA